RNAcentral lists this ribosomal RNA (468 nucleotides) under uncultured bacterium. RNAcentral describes it as "partial 16S ribosomal RNA". It matches the Rfam family "Bacterial small subunit ribosomal RNA", at positions 28 to 507 of the family's 1533-position model. The record is from RNAcentral.
GACGAACGCUGGCGGCGUGCUUAACACAUGCAAGUCGAACGGAAAGGCCCUGCUUUUGUGGGGUGCUCGAGUGGCGAACGUGUGUGUAACACGUGAGUAACCUGCCCUUGACUUUGGUAUAACUUCAGGAAACUGUGUCUAAUACCGGAUAGGAGCUCCUGCUGCAUGUUGUGGGUUGGAUUGUUUCGGCGGUUGGGGAUGGACUCGCGGCUUAUCUGCUUGUUGGUGGGUUAGUGGCUUACCAAGGCUUUGACGGGUAGCCGGCCUGAGAGGGUGACCGGCAAAAUUGGGACGGAGAUAGGGCCAGGACUCCUACGGGAGGAAGAAGGGGGGAAUAUUGCAAAAGGGGCGGAAGCCGGAGGAAGGAAGGCGGGGUGCGGGAGGACGGCCUUCGGGUUGUAAACCGCUUUCGCAGGUGACGAAGCGUGAGUGACGGUAAUGGGUAAAGAAGCACCGGCUAACUACGUG